CAAUUUUAGGAUAUCACCACUC
RNAcentral lists this non-coding RNA (22 nucleotides) under Arabidopsis thaliana (thale cress). Lineage: Eukaryota; Viridiplantae; Streptophyta; Magnoliopsida; Brassicales; Brassicaceae. The record is from RNAcentral.